This is a long non-coding RNA of Aquila chrysaetos chrysaetos, 6017 nucleotides long. RefSeq lists it as uncharacterized. The transcript has 6 exons. Lineage: Eukaryota; Metazoa; Chordata; Aves; Accipitriformes; Accipitridae. The record is from RefSeq and is a predicted model, not a curated record.
AACUUCAAUUUGGUGGUUUUUCCUGAAGAUAACUUUCUUAUUGCCGCAAACCAUUUAGUUGCAAUUUGAUAAAAAUGUUCUUAAAGCUUUGCACUCACAAUGGCUUUAACGUGAUGUUCUCCAAGUUAAACUUCCCCAUUUCAGUAAAUAACAGAUCUUUCACCGAGGCUUGUAAAAUCCCUCAGCAGUUACUCAGUAUUAAUUACUCAAGUUUUAUGAAUAGGAAAACUGAGCACAGGAGGAGGAAUAGUUUGGUAGAGUGCAAGUAGAAUAGCAUCCUGGGGUUUCGACUUUCAGUGCAUUUUCCUAAGGGCAAUGCCAGUGCCCUUGUGAGUCCGUUAAAAGCCUCCUAUAGACUUCAUUGAUAAGACAGACUCCCUAGAGGUGAGCCAGGGUUUGUCCUUCAACGUGUUUAUGUAAAGUACCUUCAGAACAGAUUUAUUGAAAUGAAUGCAUGGAGAAGAUAAGGCCACACGUGUCCUUUGAGCUAGCUGUUUCUUUCAGUGUAAUGUCUUGAGGCUUAUCUGAGUGUGCCUGAGAUUAGAAUUAGCCAGAGAAAGAGAAAAUUAGGGUAUAUUGGCAAAACAGCGUACAGAUUCCUCCAUAAUCCCCAGGGUUUGAAUUUCUUAGGGCUUUUGAUGUGACCCUGCAUGUCCUGCUCCCAGAAGGGACCACAAGACUCCUGCAGCUCCCAGCACCAACCUGUGUAGGGAUGGCAUUUCCUUGGGGUUUUCUAGCCAUGGUGUUGUGCGGGCGGGCAGAGGACCCAAGCUAAUGAUGGAUAGGGUGCAUGGGGUACACAGUCCAGCGCUGCAACGACAGGGUCAACAGCAGCCACAUCUUAUUGAUGUUGGUGAACCUACACCGGGCUAGGCUGCCAUCCUGAUGGUCCAGGUGCUAGGAUCGGUGGACAAAGCCUCUGAAAUUCACCUUUGAGUCUCUUUCCAUAAGCAUGGGAUGGUUUCAGAGUAACUGAGCCUCUGCAUGAAGCAGUUUUGAUGUGCAGAGUCGUGCGGAUGCAGAGGUGUGCAUACCCACACAGACUCCAGUAAUGAUUUCCAGGGAGCAGCAGCUGGUCCACUCCUCUUUUUAAGAGGUGAUGUGCCUAACAGAUGCAAAACACCGGGAACAACCAGGUAGUAAAAACAAAGUGCUUCCUUCUUAUCGUAAGACAUCCCACCUUCGCAGUGCGUGCCGGAGCUGUGGUACCUCUGGUGAUCCUAUGUCGGGGUGAUCAGCAGCCAGAAGGACCUACUUGCACAUGUUCAUCUACAAGCAAAACCCUCCGGUGAGGAACUGCUCUCGACUCAGCUCCUCUGCUCGACUCUGUGUGUACUUGGCACAAGUCAGGAGGUGAAGAGCUCAGCCCGGGCAGAGCAAACCUCUCCUCCGAGUGCCUGUGAUAUCGGGGCCCCAGAGAGGCGGCAGGCAAGAAGACGAUGAUUUUUUGCCUGACGUGCUGAGCUACAGCUGCUCUACCCCGUCCUCUCGGGAGUGGGACGAGGAGGGGGGUGCAAAGCCACGAUGACUUCACCAGCAGCGCGAGGGUAGGAUGGCGUCCAGCUGAUCCUUGCGAAACGCCCUGCCGAGCGUGCUGGCCCACGGGCACGCUUCCCGGCUCCGAGCGUGCCCUGCCAUCGCACGGUCCUCGCUUGAGUCACUUAUAACCCAAUACUGGAUCGUUACCACAGGCAUCGAAAAAGGGGGUUUUUUGCUUUUCAGUGACUUCAUGAAUCGAAGACACUGCCAAUUAUCUAUUAUUCAUGGCAUUUAAAAUGUCAACACCUCCCUCCCAAAUGAAAAUGGAGUUAAAGGUCCUGUGCUUCCCUGUGCCCCUUGCUCUCCCCUCGUCCCACAGCGGGGCCGUGGAGAUUGGCCUUUUAGGAAGCGGCCAAAGCAAUCUUGCCUCCUCUGCUCAGCUAAAUCGUAUUUGCAAUUUAGGACCAUGGCCUUGUGAUCCUGCACCCAGCACGUGCAGUGGGACCUGGGGCAGGGGGAGGACCUGGGGACAGGUCUGGUGGGGAGCCUGGUUUAGCUGUUCCUCAGAUCUGUCGCUGCAGCUCAUGAGCUAUUGGGGAACAGCCGUGUUUGGUCUGUGGUGGUCUGUUCCCGGUCUGUCCAGUCCAGAGGUAUUCAACCCCAGAGUAGGUGCUCUAACUCUUUGCUCAUGACUUCCAUGUGUUUCCAACAUCUCUGUUAAAAAGAAACCUCCAUCUCUCCCCCUCGUUUCCUUUUCGCUGAGACUCUGCUUGGAACUUGCAUAAAUCUUGCCCAAAAAUAACACUGGCCGCUCUCCCAGCUGUGGGCGUCGUGACUUCUGCACAGGGAAGGGAAGGCUGCGAUCUGAUUCGUUUCAUGGCAGAUUUCGGUCAGCUUUGGCACCCCUCCAUCCUUGCUGGUACCAAAUUUACAAGGUUCCUCUUUCCAGCUUUUCACUCUUCUCCUGGGCUUACCUCUGCCUCUCUGAGGCCUCGUCUCUGGAAAGCCACGGUGUUUUCUUGGCACAACUGACUGCAAAACGUGGCACAGACAAACCAAUAAAAGUAGCCAAUAAACUCGGCGAGUUCUGCAAGUGGCCAAGGCAGCGCCGCUUCCUUUGGGAUGACAUUAAAAUGCAGCAGAGAGGAUGAGACUCGGAUCCUUUUCUGUUUGUUUCCCGGCCGAUAUAUGAUUUUUCCACUGGUGCGAGAAGAGUUCUGAGAAAUUUUUUUACAAAGGAAAAUAGUUAUAGGGACAACUGCCACGGGUGCCGGCAGGCUCAGCCUGGGGUCCUUACUGUGUUAAGCAGCCUCUAGGUCAGUGGUGGCUAAUCAAAACUGGAGUGAAAACCAAGAGCCUGAUGCCCAGCUGGUGCAAAUUUGUCAAACUCUAAUGAUUUUAAUGAGCUUGACAUCCACAGAUCACCUGUGCUGAUAGCUCCCUUGCAUGCUUCUGGUGGGAGGCAUUAUAAGGAGAAGAAGGGCAAGUUGUUCCUCUUGGAAGUCCUUCCACCUUCUCUGGGCAGAGAGGAAGGACACUGAGGGAGCUGAGCCCUGGCUGAUCCAUGUCGGUUGGAGGACCUUUGAGACACGGAACUGGCUUGGCUCUCUGGUAGUGUGGGUUAUCUUCCUACCCAAGCAGGGUAAAUCAGGAGGCAAAUGUACUGAAAUGGUGGGAAUGACCCAUCAGCCCAUCAUGACAGCCUGUGCCAUAGGGAAACAGCAGCGGGAGAGGUCCUGGGAGGCUGGCAAGGGAGCCUUGUCCCUGCUCUGAGGCUCCAGCCAGCCUGGAAAUGCAAUAUAUUGCUGGCUUGCAAGAGCCCCAGGAGUGACCCGCUUGUGCGGUGCUGGUGGGGCCAGCCGUAGCCUUCUGGGAUGAGGGAAAUGCUACUGCUGGCUGCAGCCCUGCUGAAGAUGAGGGACAUCCUUUGACCCCAGCUACAGAAGAAACAACAUCUGCUAUAAAAAUCUGCUGGCCAGGGGCAGUGGGAGCGGAUACCACUUAUCACGGUUUGGCUAUUGGAGGCAGUGGCUGGUUCCCAGCAGAAAGUGCCUCAGCCCGGGCCCCGUGAUCGUGGUGUAUACCGAAGCGGUGUCUCAUCUGUCUGCAAGCUGCACAGAUUAGAUGUACGCAGAGAGGAUGGAGAGCUAGGGAAAAAAGAAAGGACAGAGGGAAUUGGAUAGGAAGGAGUAAGGAAAUGAAAGAAAGACUUCCAGGAAAGGUAAAGAGACAACACUGUAUUUACAAAUAUGUACCUGGACUUAAGUGAAGUCUCCUAUGUGCUGCUGGGACACAAAGUCAGGCUGCUUUCUAGUAAAGCAAAGUCUGUGAGGUAGCGUGUCUGUUCCUGGGCUUUAACUGAAGAGUGACAUCUCUGAAGAAGCAGGAAAGUGGUCAGGAGUAAGCAUGAAACAUGUAAGAUUGCAGAAUUCAAAAGGAUAAACAUUAUUUGAUACCUUAUUUAUAGGGCACCACAGGGGAAAGGUAAAGGUUUCAGAAAAGAAAGAAGCACUUUAAUUUUAUCUGGAGAUUUUCCAACAAUAAAAUCUAAUCCAUCAUUCUCUCUGUGUGACUGCUCUUAAUGAAAAUUUAGAGGCUGUGACUGAAAUUUAGAAUUCACAGGGGAUACUAUUAGGAAGAUGUCUAGCAGCUAUGCAAAACCUGUUAUAUCAUAGCCCCUGCCAAAGGCCGGGGAAGAGUGGAGUGUGAAAUGGACAGCUUUUAAUUUGGCGUGCCGAGGCUCCGCAGCGCCCAGCCUUCCUCUCCCGGGUGGCGGCAGUGGGAUUGCUUGGGACCCGCGGCAGCCGUCCAUCCAGUGGGCUUCACUGGGGAUCGGCUCACCGGGUGACAGCCGGGCUCCAGCAACGGCAGCUGUGGUGUUGGUUUCAAAAGAGUGUUUUCUUCCAAGACUGAACGGAGGAGGCCCUACAGUGAGGCAAGGUCUGUCGGACACCGUCACGAGAAGGAUGUCCUGGCUACCUGACGGGCUCGGUGAGGGUUGCAGCUCUGCUGCACGCUGUCCUUGGCCGUACGCCUUGCUCCCAGACCAACACCAGGACUGCACCGCUUGGCCAGCAAAAAGAGCUGCAAGUGUUUGAGAAUGUGGACAGCAGGGCUGGGUUUGUUCCUGCCUCUGCACCAGGGGGAACGUCCUCGCUCAAAGGCUGGAAGAUGGGUGAAACGGCGGUGAGGAAAGGGUCAAAACACAUCCCCCCAACUGCGAGCAAAAGAAAAAUGUUGGCAGAGCAAACCUUGCCACAGGAAUAAAAGGUUGUCCUGACUGUUCAUAUUACUCCACAUGGGGCAGCUGACAAACAUGACCUCGCUCUGCGCCAAGCCCCAGCAAACAGCAGUACAGAGUUCCCACUUCCUUCGCACAGAAAGGGGCAGAGGCAAGCACACGGCAAAGCAGUCUGUGCUGUGAGGUGAUGGGAAAGCUGUUGCUCUCGUGCUGAAACAUGAGCAGAAGAAUCUGCAUUUCCAGCUUGUGGCUCAGGAUGGGGCGUUACAUUUGAGCUAUGGGCUCAAGGAGAGUUCUCUCUUCACCCCAAAUGCAAAAGACUGACCUACAAGACAAAGACCAUGAAGCAGGAGCCUAUGAUGUCAAUCCCAGACCUUGAGCUUUGCUAGGUCUGGGCACGAAACCCAACAUGGCAGAACAGGCCAAGCUCAGGCGAUGUGAAACUUAACCAACAUAUUUUACACCCACACCACUAAAAAUAGGACACCGACGCCAACUCUUCAUCUGGAAAGAGAGGAAACACCAGCGUUGCUGUGUUUUGGAUGAGGCGCAGCACUGAAGUUCUGACCAUAUUUAGCCAUAAGAUCAUCUCGCAGGACUUCUGCAUGAGAGUGGAGUUUUAGAAAAAUUAUUCUGGCCAAGUGCCAGUUCUGCCUUUAUUAUUUCUCCCUGCUAUCUCAAUCCUUCAUUUCAUCACCUAAAUUGCUGUGUUGAGUUACUCGAGGCUGCUAAAAUGCUGUCAUGCUACAGAGGCAACUGUAUGAAGGAAAUGAUGUCUCUACUGAAAGUGCUCUGUACAGCUGAAAUCAGGCUACCUACUUAGGUGUCGGGUUUAGAUUUUUCAUUGUAAGCACAGAAACUUGAAACAUUUUGCCCAAAUGUGUUGAAAGCUAUGAAGACAUUAAGGAUUAUUCGUGGAAUAAAUAUUCAUUUGCAGGAAGACUUUUUUUUUUUAAUGCAUUAAUAUUUUGGGCAGCAUGUUGCAAUCUGUGCAGCUGCUUACAGAAAAAGGUGAUCAUAUUCUGAGUUCUGUUUCAAUAGUUCUUAAUAUUAACAAUACCAGUAACGUACCUCAUUUUUAUGAUUUAAUGGCAGUUUCUGCUUAAGUUAAAAUACCCGCUAGCUUUUCCUUAACUAUUAACUAAUUACUAGUAAUGAAAAAUUCCCUGAGAACUGGUCUUCAAAUGCUUCCCUACCAGGUGCUGUAAUACUGUUGCUUUGCUGAUAAUUUUUAACCACAAAUACUACAUUACACCCGCUGCCCUGAACACCAGAAAAAUGUCCUUAUUUUAUUCGC